RNAcentral lists this ribosomal RNA (600 nucleotides) under uncultured bacterium. Its description in RNAcentral is "bacterial SSU rRNA". It matches the Rfam family "Bacterial small subunit ribosomal RNA", at positions 865 to 1474 of the family's 1533-position model. The record is from RNAcentral.
CAUCCCACCUGGGGAGUACGCCGGCAACGGUGAGACUCAAAGGAAUUGACGGGGGCCCGCACAAGCGGAGGAACAUGUGGUUUAAUUCGAUGAUACGCGAGGAACCUUAGCCGGGCUUGAAUUGCAGACGCAGGAUACAGAGAUGUUGACUCCCUUCGGGGCGUCUGUGAAGGUGCUGCAUGGUUGUCGUCAGCUCGUGCCGUGAGGUGUCGGCUUAAGUGCCAUAACGAGCGCAACCCCUUUCCUUAGUUGCCAUCAGGUCAUGCUGGGCACUCUGGGGACACUGCCACCGCAAGGUGUGAGGAAGGUGGGGAUGACGUCAAAUCGGCACGGCCCUUACGUCCGGGGCUACACACGUGUUACAAUGGCCGGUACAGAGGGACGGUGUAAUGUAAGUUGCAUCCAAUCUUGAAAGCCGGUCCCAGUUCGGACUGAGGUCUGCAACCCGACCUCACGAAGCUGGAUUCGCUAGUAAUCGCGCAUCAGCCAUGGCGCGGUGAAUACGUUCCCGGGCCUUGUACACACCGCCCGUCAAGCCAUGAAAGCCGGGGGUGCCUGAAGUUCGUAACCGCGAGGAGCGACCUAGGCAAUUCUUGGUUA